AAUUGUGGUAGCCAUUCGCAGACUAGGACUGCGUCACCAACUUAGAACUAAAUAUAAACGCAGACGAUAAUUUAGCGUACGCUGCCUAGUGGCAGCUGUCGACCUUAAGCAACUCGCGACUUAAGAACUCGGCAUCAAAAUUAGCGAGGACCUUUAUCUUCAAAGCUUUGAGAAGAUAAAAGAUUUAUGAAGCUACCAAAAUCAGGAGCCUGUCUGUCGGCGCCUGAUGGCGGGAACAGCGUGGUAACGCCACGCAGAGUAGACCGACUGUAAUGGGAGAGACUGCAAUGGAAGGACUUUCGGACGCGGGUUCGAUUCCCGCCAGCUCCAUCC
Molecule: transfer-messenger RNA, 333 nt
Filed under: Clostridiales bacterium
Lineage: Bacteria; Bacillati; Bacillota; Clostridia; Eubacteriales
Description: partial transfer-messenger RNA
Rfam family: transfer-messenger RNA
About the family: Bacterial tmRNA, also known as 10Sa RNA or SsrA, is named for its dual tRNA and mRNA-like properties. Its role is to liberate the mRNA from a stalled ribosome. To accomplish this part of the tmRNA is used as a reading frame that ends in a translation stop signal.
Source: RNAcentral